Molecule: long non-coding RNA, 7581 nt
Filed under: Malus domestica (apple)
Lineage: Eukaryota; Viridiplantae; Streptophyta; Magnoliopsida; Rosales; Rosaceae
Description: long non-coding RNA (MDOM_LNC016986)
Source: RNAcentral
AGUCAUGAUGAUGUUUGAAACAUCAUCAUGAUGGUUUUGUUUUGUAGAAGAAAAGAAAGGAACAAACGGCAAAGAAGAAAAGAAAGAAGGAAUAAAGAAGAAAAGAAUAAAAAAAUAAACAAAAGAUUGAAGAAAGGCAUAAAAGCAAGAAAAGAAGAAUAAGAAGAAGUGGAUGGUGCACUGGCGGGGGGAGACUGACAGAAAAGAAAAGAAUAAGCAGAAACCUAGUGGGGGAAGCUUAGCUGCCCUUGCAGCCUUGAAAAACGAAAAGCAGAAAAUAAAAGGGAAGUCAGUACGGGACAGCAAAGGCAGGUGGGAGAAGAAAGGCUGCCCUUGGCAGCGUGAUAAAGGCAGGAGGGCAGGCUGUCGAGGGGGGAGCGGAAAAGAGACGGAAGAAAAAUAAAGAAGCAGCUGAGCUGAGCUGCCUUGCGGUGUGGAGACUGGGAGGAGAAAAGAGAAAAGCAGCAAGGCUGCCAGAAGGAAAGGAGAAGAUGCGGGGAGAGAGUAGCAUGUGAAAAGAAGAGGACAGGGCGCCAGGGAGCAUGUGAGAGGACAGCAGUGGGCUGUCUUGGCAGCCCAGAGGAGUGACUCGGAAGGAGAAAACGUGAGCUGGAGAAGGGGUCAGGAGGAGAGAAUAAAAGGAGAAGAGAAGUGGGAGGCUGCUUUGAGGGGGAAUUGGUGGAAGGCAGAGGGCUGCCCUUUGGGCAGCGUGAAGCUGCGGAGAGAAGGGAAGGGGGAAGCUGCCCUUUGGCAGCGAGGUCAGAUAGCGCAGGAAAACAGAGAGGUCAGGAGGUCAGCUCGCAGAGGCAGGAGAGGAGAUAGACACGGGGAGAAGGGAGACUGACGGGCACAGUGAGAAGAAAAUUAGAGGCUUCACUCCAUUUCUCUCGGUUUAAUUUUUCCAAACUUCUCAUUUAUUUCUGUUUUUAAUAAUGUGUAAUUAAAUUUAUGUUGGUUAGAGGUUAAUUCGAAACCAUGAUUAUAUUUGUAAUAUGAAUUGAUUACCUUCAGUUGUGAGUUAUAAGUUGUGAAUUCAAUUUACUUAUCCGUUCGUAUAAAAACUGAUUUGUGUAUGUUGGUUGAGAGUGCACGCUUAAUUUACAUGCAUGAAUUUGAUGCUAGAAUAUAAGUGAAUUUCACCUAAUCGUUAUGAACUUAUUUUCACAAGUAGUAAAGGUUGCUAGUCACAAUCACGUUAAAGUAAAUUCUCUUGGCAAGAGUAUCAUGCUUUUCAUAGUUACGAAUGCCUCGUCAAUGCUUAUAGUUUUUUCACAAAGUUUAAUGAUCUUUGAUUGUAUCUCUAUUGUGCUUUUCACGUAGGGGACUUUUGAAGAAUGUUUUGAAUUGUUGUAUGCGUUUUCCCCGUCCAAUUCAAUAACUUAAGGAAAACUUGAAGAUUAAAAAAGUGCUGUUCACGGUUAAUCUGGAGUAUUGAAAUUCACAAAUUUAUUAAAUGAACAACUGGAAAUCAUUUUGUAUGCAAGUAUAACAUGUGUGGAGAAGAACCCUCUAGCUAGUCCGUCAUUUAUCCUUCCACCUUAAUUUCAUGUUUUUGUCAAUUCUGUAAUUUAAUUAAGUUUAAUUUACUUUCAUCAUCAAAACCAAACACCCAUCCAUUAUUAAAUUAUAUUAUUUAUUUAGUUUUCUUUAUUGUUAGUCUUUUUAAUUUAAUUUCCGUCCAUUUCAGUUCCUAGUGUUUAAUUUAAUUGUUUUCAUUAUUUUGAGUCAUUUUAAGUGUGUUUCGAGUUAUUAGAGUUUUUAGCCUAGUUUUGUGUCCUUGAGUCUUAUUUAAUAUUUUUAAGUUAAUUUAAUAGAUUAGCAAUCCCUCCUAAUCCCCGGCCUAGAACGAUACCCUACUUACAUCUAUACUACAAUUGUCAAAAAGAGGGUUUAAUUUUGUGUGUUAACUUAUUUUUCACAUCAAAUUUUGGCGCCGUUGCCGGGGAUUAGUAACUUUUUACUUUGCUAAUCCUUUUAUUUUUGUUUUUGUUAUGUUUAUAUUGGUGUUUGUGUAUUUUACUUUUGAUAUUUGAUUUAUUUUUCUUUCUUUGAUUUUAGGUUCAAAUGGAGCCGAGGGAAAUUUAAAGGAAAGAUGCGUCCGGCUAAAGACGUUAAAUCAAGCGCUUCUUGGGAGGCAACCCAAGCAUUCAACGAAGGGAGACUUUGGAAUCGCUAACUCAAUCAGAUUUGCAUUUUUACACCCUUAUCUUUACUGCUUUCAUUUUGUUUUGUUUAGUUAGUUGUGUUAUUUGUUUGAUUUCUGUGAGUUUGUGUUAUUUAGUUUAAGUAUGGGGGAAGGUUAACCAAAGUCUUUCUACUUUAAUUUACAUAAAAAAUAAAAAAAAAAUAAAAAAAUGAUAUAAUAAAUAAAAAAAAAAAAAAGACAAAAUUUAAAAUUAAUGAUAAAAAAAAUAAAAAAAUAAAAAAUUACAUAAAAAAAAUAAAAAUAAAAAUAAAAAAUUUUAAAAAAAAAUUAAAAAAAAAUUUAAAAAAAAAAAAAAAAAAAAAAAAGUACAAAUAUUUUACAAUGAUGUAAACUAAUAGUAUUCAUUGGUCGGGUGGUGCUUCAGUAGUAGGCGGGGCUUCAGCAGUCGGCGGGGCCACGGAAGGAGGAGGCGGCAGAGGUUGAUCAGUUGGAGCUUCACUACGCGGUGCCGCUCCAGAAGACGAAGGCAGAUGUUGUUGGAACAAACCCACAAACCUCCGAUGAUCAAGUAAAAUUUGACCAUCGGUGUCCUGCAUCUGGUCAAUCUUCCUCUUCAUGCUGGUGGCAUAGCUGUGUGCGAGCUUGUGCAAUUCCUUAUUCUCAUGCUUGAGCCCUUUAAUCUCUUGCUUGAGACUCUGUAUUUCAGCCACCAAGGAUUCAACGUGACGGGUUCGGGCAUAUAGGCGUUGGGCCAUGUUGGAUACGGAACCCGCACACUGCACGCUAAGAGCCAGAGACUCCUUAACCGCCAAUUCAUCAGAUCGUCUAGCGAGCAGUCUGUUAUCUCUUGGGGUGACAAGGUUCCGGGCCACCACCGCAGCUGUCAUAUCAUUUUUUAUCACCGAAUCCCCCACGGUAAGGGGACCGGUAGGGGAUAUGAAGGAUGGCCGCCAUAUGUUGUCUGGUGAAGGCAGAGCUGCCUCUUCACCAAUGUUCAAGUCAAAACGACGAUCAGAAGGGCCAGACAUUUUUCAGAGGUGGUAAAGAAAGAAGAGAGUCGGACUGAUCAAGAUUAAACAAGUGCAAGAAGGGAGUGUUUACAGGAGGGAGCUCAAGUGUGUUGUGGAACAAAAUUAGCGCCUCUAUAAAAAGAAGAAAUCAGAGAGGCGCUCCUCAGAAAUUGAAGAGGCGUCCUCUCGCAAAUCGAAGAGUCGGGGCUCCUUUCUCAAAAGCCGGAUUCUUUUCUCAAAAGAGGAGUUUCCGUUCUCAAAAGCCGGAUUCUUUUCUCAAAAGAGGCGUUCAUUUCUUAAAAGUUGGGCUUGCUCAGAAACCACGAGCCGAACCCCGAAUUUCGCAAGAUCAAUUCGUCUAGACGUGUUGUCACCCGUCACACGCAAACUCAGCUCUGCGAAAAUCACGGGCAGUCUGUCGAAGUGCCGAUUCCAACCAUCUGUCUCUCUCUGCCUAGUCAGCAUUUGUCACAUGCAACUGGCAGCUUUGCGGAAAUUACGGGCAGCUUUGUCUGAAAGCGCGUAAUUUGUACUAUUCAUCCAUCCACCGGCUGCCGACAAUGAGUGAGAGAACAGUUCCGGUUGUGAAGACAAGUCCUAUAAGUUUCUACCUUCGCCUUCCACAGCAAAAGCACACUCUCUCAGCACACCCUUUCAACACUUCUUCAUAUCCGAAAAUGCAUUCCCAAAGAAUCCUCUCGAGUCACUCUGUGUUCCUCAUUCCUUGGGAUACUCCUGUGAACAACCCAUUCAAAGCAAAAGUAUUUCAUAUCAUAAAGGUUGAAAGCAAGAGUAUCUCAUAUCAUGCUUUCUCCAUGUCCUUCUCCUUGUCUUUGUUUUCCGACAAGGAGAAAGAGAGCAAUCAGCCAGCAUUUGGUAUCAAUCUUCCGAUCUGGAGCCAACUGCCUGGAACCCCUUCCUGAUUGCUUACCUAGCCUUGCUCUCGAGUACUCAUCUUCAUCAUUUUAUGCUUUCUCUUCGUCUACCACAUCUGCCUGGGGGACAGUAAGGGAAGUGAAAAUGAUACCUCGAAGCAUGUGGAGACAAUUCAGCUAGGGACAAGGAGAAAGAAAGCAAGAGGUGGGCACUUGGAAAGAUUGAAGAAAGAAAUAAGGACCAACACCUUUCCCUCGUGCCUGCCCGUUGUGCAGAAGAAACAAGCAGAGAAGAAUGCAGCUUGCACAAUCAUCCCAGCGGAAGGAGUCCGAACUGAAGAACUAGAGAGGCUGCCACAUCUGCUUGGAGAACAAAUAAGGAACUGCAACUUAACCAAAGAGCAAAGCCUUGUAGUACAAUAGCAUAAAAUCAUCACUUGCAAGUGAAAAGCUAAGUGUCACCCUGUUCAAGAGGAAAGCUGUGGAAAGUCAACAAGCACGACCAAUGAUUACUUAUUAGUUUUAUUCAUUAUCUUUUAUCGUAAUUUUCAAUUUUUCGUUUGCAAUUUUUUUUAAUUAAUUUUCUUGCGUUACUUAACUGAAUUAUUUCUUUUCUUUGCAGGAACUUUUGGUUAUUUCCACCCUUGAAGUUGAUUGCAGAAUUUUAGCUUGAGGGUCAUCGCUUGAUUUUACUGCAAAUUAGGGAAGUUUUCAGUCCCAUUGUUUUAUUUUGUUUCUUAUUAUUUAUUUAUUUAUUUUAUUUUUAUUUGCGUUAUAGUGUUUUCUGACAUUGGGGACAAUGUCAAGUUUAAGUGUGGGGGUAGAAAUCUCUAGAAUUUCAUUUGUUUCUGUGUUGUUAGUUUUUGUUUUCUUAAAAAAAAAAAAAAAAAAAAAAAAAAAAAAUCGGAAAAUUUAAAAAAAAUCCAAAAAUAUUGUCUUGUUUCCCUUAUUGUUUUGAAUUAGAUUUUUUGUUAGUUUCCCUACCCAAUGAUAUAAUUGGAUCAAAUUUGAACCAUGAUCAUCAAGAACUUAGUUAACAUGUGUUUUGUGAAAUUCCUAAUUCUCUUGUUAGUUUUGUACAUGUUUGACCAUCUUUGAAAAACCAAAUGCACAUAGCCUUGUUGAUGUGAAACUAAAGUAUGAAUUAAAGCUUCAUAUGUGAAUUUAGUGACCAUAUAUAAUUCCUAUGUGAGUUUUUGAGCCUAUUGAAAGUGUGCAUUUUUCAUACACUCCUAUUCUUUCAUGUGUGAUGAACUUAUGUGAGAUACAUCUCUAGAACUUGCGUAACGAUCUUUCGAAAUGUUUGUCAUUGAUUGCAUGAACUUGGAAAUGAUAGAGGCAUUAGGUUUACCACUAUGGCCCAAAUAACCAUGUUUCCCAAAGAAAAAUGAUAUCAUUAGAUUGCCAAUUUGAGCCAUGUAUGUUGAGCCUUUUAUUUCUUAUCACCAGAUAUGUCUACCCUUAUACCUGAAACAUUUUUCCUUACCCUUUCCAAGCGAGCAAUGCGAGAUUGUCUUAUGAGAAACGUUUGUGAAGUACUGUGAAGAUGUUUAGCAAAAGAUUAAGUGUGGGGGUAUUUCAUGUUUGUAAUAAAAAAAAAAAAAAAAAAAGAGAAGAAAAGAAAAAGAAAAAGAAAAAUUGUACACAAAGAAAAUAAAAAGUUGUUCAAGUUUCAGUUUAAGGGUAUGGUUGGAGGUGCUAGAAGAAUCGCUGGAAAAAUUGAGUUCUUAUAAAUCUAAACAAAAGAAUUGCUUGCAAUAUAGCUUGGAACUUGUGUUUUCCUAUUCUUUCAUUUCAAUAACCCUAUCCCUAAGCCUCAUUACAUCCAAUAAAAGUCCUUUUGAUUUAAGUUUUGCAAUUAUGACUGUGGAGAAGUGAUCUUUAUGCAAGCUUAUGGUAGAAAUUUCACAUUUGUUUCUUUGAGCGAAACACAUUAAAACUAAACACAUGUGUGUUUGAGUGCAUAUCCCGUGAGAAGGUCACUAGUUUGCAUAUGAUGAUUUUAAAAAUAAAAACUUGAAAUUGCAUUAGUAUGGCUAUCUCAUACACUACACUUCAAGGAUGAUUCAAAGAUUACUGCUAAUAUUUGAAUAAGGAAGAUGAACUUGGAUUAGUUCCUUGAUGCUAGCUAUGGUUCUUGAUGAUUUGUUUUCUUAAAUGAAAUUCUAUGAGGGUCAGAUAGGGAGAAACUAAUGUUUUUCUUGUUACUUCUUGUUCUUGUUUUCUUUGUUUUGCUCGAGGACUAGCAAAAGUUAAGUGUGGGGGUAUUUGAUCGGAUGAUAUUUAUAUAUAUUUUACUUCAAAUUCACUCGUCUUUUCUUAGUUAGUUCCUUAUAUUUUUGAGUUAUUUACGUUAUUUUUGUGUUUAUAGGAUUUGUUAUGCAAAGAAAAUAAAAAUAGAACAAGUGAAAUUUUAUGUAAUAAAUUCGUCAAAACUGUCUGUGUAGAUCAGCUUUUAAAUUAAAUUAAAAAAAAAUAUAAUAAUGAUAAGUCAUGAUGAUGUUUGAAACAUCAUCAUGAUGGUUUUGUUUUGUAGAAGAAAAGAAAGGAACAAACGGCAAAGAAGAAAAGAAAGAAGGAAUAAAGAAGAAAAGAAUAAAAAAAUAAACAAAAGAUUGAAGAAAGGCAUAAAAGCAAGAAAAGAAGAAUAAGAAGAAGUGGAUGGUGCACUGGCGGGGGGAGACUGACAGAAAAGAAAAGAAUAAGCAGAAACCUAGUGGGGGAAGCUUAGCUGCCCUUGCAGCCUUGAAAAACGAAAAGCAGAAAAUAAAAGGGAAGUCAGUACGGGACAGCAAAGGCAGGUGGGAGAAGAAAGGCUGCCCUUGGCAGCGUGAUAAAGGCAGGAGGGCAGGCUGUCGAGGGGGGAGCGGAAAAGACGGAAGAAAAAUAAAGAAGCAGCUGAGCUGCCUUGCGGUGUGGAGACUGGGAGGAGAAAAGAGAAAAGCAGCAAGGCUGCCAGAAGGAAAGGAGAAGAUGCGGGGAGAGAGUAGCAUGUGAAAAGAAGAGGACAGGGCGCCAGGGAGCAUGUGAGAGGACAGCAGUGGGCUGUCUUGGCAGCCCAGAGGAGUGACUCGGAAGGAGAAAACGUGAGCUGGAGAAGGGGUCAGGAGGAGAAUAAAAGGAGAAGUGGGAGGCUGCUUUGAGGGGGAAUUGGUGGAAGGCAGAGGGCUGCCCUUUGGGCAGCGUGAAGCUGCGGAGAGAAGGGAAGGGGGAAGCUGCCCUUUGGCAGCGAGGUCAGAUAGCGCAGGAAAAGAGAGGUCAGGAGGUCAGCUCGCAGAGGCAGGAGAGGAGAUAGACACGGGGAGAAGGGAGACUGACGGGCACAGUGAGAAGAAAAUUAGAGGCUUCACUCCAUUUCUCUCGGUUUAAUUUUUCCAAACUUCUCAUUUAUUUCUGUUUUUAAUAAUGUGUAAUUAAAUUUAUGUUGGUUAGAGGUUAAUUCGAAACCAUGAUUAUAUUUGUAAUAUGAAUUGAUUACCUUCAGUUGUGAGUUAUAAGUUGUGAAUUCAAUUUACUUAUCCGUUCGUAUAAAAACUGAUUUGUGUAUGUU